This 326-nucleotide ribosomal RNA is filed under the name uncultured eukaryote. RNAcentral's name for it is "partial 18S ribosomal RNA". It matches the Rfam family "Eukaryotic small subunit ribosomal RNA", at positions 1470 to 1796 of the family's 1831-position model. The record is from RNAcentral.
CCCUUAGAUGUUCUGGGCUGCACGCGCGCUACACUGAUGCAUCCAACAAGUUUUUUCCUUGUUCGAGAGGACUAGGUAAUCUUAUGAGAAUGCAUCGUGAUGGGGAUAGAUUAUUGCAAUUAUUAAUCUUCAACGAGGAAUUCCUAGUAAGCGCGAGUCAUCAGCUCGUGCUGAUUACGUCCCUGCCCUUUGUACACACCGCCCGUCGCUACUACCGAUUGAACGUUUUAGUGAGCUCCUCGGAUUGUCAGCCUGGCGGUUAAUCCUGCCUGGCUAGCGAAAAGACGAGCAAACUUGAGCGUUUAGAGGAAGUAAAAGUCGUAACA